UGAGUUUGAUCAUGGCUCAGAACGAACGCUGGCGGCGCGCCUAACACAUGCAAGUCGAACGAGAAUCCGGGGCAACCCGGUAGUAAAGUGGCAAACGGGUGAGGAAUGCAUGGGUAACCUACCCUUGAGAAGGGAAUAACCCGCCGAAAGGUGAGCUAAUACCCUAUACGCUAUCAUUUUUACGAAAAAGAUAGGAAAGCCGGGUCGAGGACUUGGCACUCGAGGAGGGGCUCAUGUCCUAUCAGCUUGUUGGUGGGGUAACGGCCUACCAAGGCUACGACGGGUAGCUGGUCUGAGAGGAUGAUCAGCCACACUGGCACUGAGAUACGGGCCAGACUCCUACGGGAGGCAGCAGUGAGGAAUAUUGCGCAAUGGGCGAAAGCCUGACGCAGCGACGCCGCGUGGGGGAUGAAGGUUUUCGGAUUGUAAACCCCUUUCAUGAGGAAAGAUAAAGUGGGUAACCACUUAGACGGUACCUCAAGAAGAAGCCACGGCUAACUUCGUGCCAGCAGCCGCGGUAAUACGAAGGUGGCAAGCGUUGUUCGGAUUUACUGGGCGUAAAGAGCACGUAGGCGGUUGGGAAAGCCUCUUGGGAAAUCUCCCGGCUUAACCGGGAAAGGUCGAGAGGAACUAUUCAGCUAGAGGACGGGAGAGGAGCGCGGAAUUCCCG
This 670-nucleotide ribosomal RNA is filed under the name uncultured bacterium. Its description in RNAcentral is "bacterial SSU rRNA". It matches the Rfam family "Bacterial small subunit ribosomal RNA", at positions 1 to 672 of the family's 1533-position model. The record is from RNAcentral.